GACGAACGCUGGCGGCGUGCCUAAUACAUGCAAGUUGAGCGCUGAAGGUUGGUACUUGUACCAACUGGAUGAGCAGCGAACGGGUGAGUAACGCGUGGGGAAUCUGCCUUUGAGCGGGGGACAACAUUUGGAAACGAAUGCUAAUACCGCAUAAAAACUUUAAACACAAGUUUUAAGUUUGAAAGAUGCAAUUGCAUCACUCAAAGAUGAUCCCGCGUUGUAUUAGCUAGUUGGUGAGGUAAAGGCUCACCAAGGCGAUGAUACAUAGCCUACCUGAGAGGGUGAUCGGCCACAUUGGGACUGAGACACGGCCCAAACUCCUACGGGAGGCAGCAGUAGGGAAUCUUCGGCAAUGGACGAAAGUCUGACCGAGCAACGCCGCGUGAGUGAAGAAGGUUGUCGGAUCGUAAAACUCUGUUGGUAGAGAAGAACGUUGGUGAGAGUGGAAAGCUCAUCAAGUGACGGUAACUACCCAGAAAGGGACGGCUAACUACGUG
This 497-nucleotide ribosomal RNA is filed under the name uncultured bacterium. RNAcentral describes it as "partial 16S ribosomal RNA". It matches the Rfam family "Bacterial small subunit ribosomal RNA", at positions 28 to 507 of the family's 1533-position model. The record is from RNAcentral.